AGUGCAACGGUAUAUUAGUUAGGCUAUCGGUAAGCUAUUCUGAAUUUAAUUAGUGAUUUAAAAUCUUACGCAAUCCUGACAGAUAUUGUUUCUCGCCACAAAAAAGCCGGAAAAGGACACUCAACAAAAAACCCGCUGCACAUUGAAAAACGGUACCGGUUUUUAAAACCCGUGUGGCGGCCAUCGUGGUGGCAAGGCCAAUGUGUUGUUCAGUGCUUCAAAUCAGCUGAUCGUCCUAUUAUCACACGGCGUGUCUCCUCAAGGUCACCGGGACAGUGUUGCCAACAUCACGGAAGCAGCGUUGCCAACCUAACAGCAGACAGUGUUUACUCAUCAUGUUGGGAAGACUGUGGCAGCUGUUUUGUGAGUGGUUGGACAUUCUGCAACGUUUUUUUACAGCAUCCUGUUGUCCUGGAUUGAACAGUUUUGACACAGAAGAUGAAGAAGAGGAGGAAGAAAAUCUUUUGGAAAGCCCAGUGGACAAGACUGACAAAAAAGACUAAAUAGUGAAGUGCGCUCCUAACGUUCGUUAUCUAGUGAAAUUUUCAAUCCUGUUAAUACAUUUUAAAACUAUUUAAACGUGUUUUGCCGAAAUUUAAUAUGAAAUGUUGUCCCCAUGUUUUGCCGAAAAUGAGUUACCAAAUUGCUAAGUCAUCUAGGAAGGAGGCCUCGAUUGUUGCUCAUGGAAUCUCCGUCGUUGAGCGCCCUCCGAGUCUUCGCUCUCUGUCCAACUCUGUCCUGGUCACUUGAUGACGAUCACGCAGACCACACUUUCUGUCACUUUUGUACUUAUUUAUUUGUGAAUUGUUUUGUUACGAUGUCUUAAAUACAUUGUUUUGUUUUGUAA
Molecule: long non-coding RNA, 847 nt
Organism: Macrosteles quadrilineatus (aster leafhopper)
Lineage: Eukaryota; Metazoa; Arthropoda; Insecta; Hemiptera; Cicadellidae
Exons: 2
Source: RefSeq, a predicted model, not a curated record